CCAGUUACCUGGCAGGGGAGAUACCAUGAUCAUGAAGGUGGUUUUCCCAGGGCGAGGCUUAUCCAUUGCACCUGUUCUGCAUCUUGCACAUAUAAAUCUUUUCAAGAAUUGGAGAUCCAAGUUAAGUGCACAGUUCCUGAUCUCAGUUGGAGGUAAGCUCUCCUU
Jaculus jaculus (lesser Egyptian jerboa) is the source of this 165-nucleotide small nuclear RNA. Its record names the gene U1. It matches the Rfam family "U1 spliceosomal RNA". Rfam says of the family: U1 is a small nuclear RNA (snRNA) component of the spliceosome (involved in pre-mRNA splicing). The record is from Ensembl. NCBI's taxonomy places the organism in Eukaryota, Metazoa, Chordata, Mammalia, Rodentia, Dipodidae.